Molecule: ribosomal RNA, 514 nt
Filed under: uncultured bacterium
Lineage: Bacteria
Description: bacterial SSU rRNA
Rfam family: Bacterial small subunit ribosomal RNA
Source: RNAcentral
AGAACGAACGCUGGUAGCGUGGAUUAGGCAUGCAAGUCGAACGGGAUCGCCGAGUUAGCAAUAACGAGGCGUGAGAGUGGCGGAUUGGGGAGGAACACGUGAGCAACCUGUCCUGAGCCGGGGAAAACCGCGGGAAACUGCGGCUAAUACCGGAUGCGGCGCCCGACGGCAUCGUCGGAGCGCUAAAGGGGGCCCGCAAGGGCUCUCGCUCUUCGAGGGGCUCGCGCACCAUCAGCUUGUUGGCGGGUAACGGCCCACCAAGGCCUACGGUUAGCUGGUCUGAGAGGAUGACCAGCCCCACUGGGACUGAGAUACUGCCCAGACUCCUACGGGAGGCUGCAGUCGAGGAUCAUUUGCAAUGGGCGAAAGCCUGACAAUGCGACGCUGCGUGGAAGGAUGAAGGCCUUCGGGUUGUAAACUCCUGUCAUAUGGGAACAGGCGAGGGGACCCAACACGUCCCUUAGUUGAGUGUACCUUAAGAGGAAUGGGCGGCUAACUCUGUGCCAGCAGCCGC